Long non-coding RNA from Piliocolobus tephrosceles (Ugandan red Colobus), 3921 nucleotides. RefSeq lists it as uncharacterized. NCBI's taxonomy places the organism in Eukaryota, Metazoa, Chordata, Mammalia, Primates, Cercopithecidae. The record is from RefSeq and is a predicted model, not a curated record. The transcript is spliced from 3 exons.
AGCCUGAGCUGGAAAUUCACACUGGCCGGUCUAUUGUUUCUGUCGUUUCUUGCAUACAUCAGAUAGGAGAACCAGAACUACCCCACAGCUGUGGUUCCUUGGCCUCCUCCUCUCCUUCCCUGUUUUAUCACACUAUCACCUUCCUCUAGAGUCAUGUCCAUUUCCAGAGGAGUCAAAACAGCCCUGCAGACCUCAAAUGGAGGGGUGGGUCCUGAUCGAUCAGAGUCAGUCUAGUCUACAGCCCGGGUUCCUUUUCCCUCUGAGACCAGAAAGUGGGAAGAAGUGAUGGAGAGGAGCUGACAGCCGUGCCUUUUCUUUCUCCUGCCAAGCUGCGAAGCCAGCCAAGCCCUGCCAGCUUCCCUAGCUCUGGGGGAGGAGGAGGAGGCGGCCUCUUGCUCAGGGGAGCUGUCACCAGCCUGCAAGCCCACUGUCCUAGCCACACUGUGAAACUGGAGGUGGCACCUCCCACAGCAGCUUCAGCAGAACCCAGGGACGCCACCAGAGGCAUGAAGUGUGUGAACCUCCGGCCCGAGGGGAGAGCUGAGGAGGCGGGCAGACACGGCAAGAGGGAUCUUAAGCAGCAGCCGCCUCUGGAUUUACAGACCUGACUGCUUUCUGGCCCCAGGCGGAAGGAAUUUGAUCUGGCGGUUCCCUGGACUCGGGUGGGACCGGAACUGUCUCACAGCUGCCAGCGCUCCCCACCCCCAUGAGAACCACCAUGCUGAAGAUGAAAAGCCAAAGCCAGACUGACCAGCCUCUGCAACCCCAAGCAUCACCGUGUGAGGACAGCGUGGUGUGGAGCCGUGGGGACCCCACGCAGUGCUGCGAGGGGCGACCACAUGCAGGGGCAGAGGUGUGGGGGAGCAAGCAGAUGCCACCAGCAUGCCUGGGAGCCACAGGGAGCAUGCGGGCUGCGCAGUGAUGGGAAUGAACGUGAACUCCAGUCCUGCCCCAAGAAGUCCUCCGGCCCCUCCUCCUCAAUUCAGGGCACAAAGUGGAAACUGCAGCGCGCAGAGGAGUCAAGGAGUCUUCCCUCGUCCCAGGAGCAGCACCGCAGGCACAGUCUCGAUCCCAUGGAACAGCCAAGUGUGGGUUGGUGGUCCAGAGACCUCCGAAGAUCCAGGGGGGAGGGAUGGGCAGCAAAGGGUCUACUCUCUGAAAAUAAGGGGAAGGGAUUUGCCCUCCCCACUGCCAAGGUCCCAGCUCUGGACGUGGGUGGUAGUGGCAGUUUCACCCCUAGCCUGAGGCCUGGUCUUUCUUGUUCUAGGAGGCCCUCCAGAUCAUCUGCCUGAGCAGCCUCUGUCCCCAGGGACCUUCAAGGGCUGGCAGUUGUGUCCAGCCCCCUCUAGCCUCUGUCCAGGGACUGCAACCUUUUUCUGCAAACAGCCAGAUACUAUUUAGAUUUGGGGGAGUGUACGGUCUCUGCUGCCGUGACUCACCUCGGCCACUGUGGCACAAAGGGGCACAGACCACAGGAAAAUGGGUGUUGCUGUUCCUGCCACGCUGGGUUGACACAGGCAGGUGGGGGAUCAGAGGUGGCCCGGCUGUCGUCUGCUAAUCCUUGCCCUGAUCAUAAGAACCUGUCUGUCUCACAGCUUGGGAGCACGGACCGCUGUCAGGGUAUCUGCUGUGCACUGUGCAGAAGCUGCCUCACCUUCUCAGGGUGAGACCCAAGGCUGCAGGGUGACGACAUCCACAUUCCCAAAGCCUGAGGUCCUGGGGUGACAGUUCUCCCAGCCUUGCAAGGGGGCACUAGCACCCCAGCCCACCGGCCCAUUAGGCCGCCUCUGGGAACUCAGGGACUUAAGUCCCCUCCAGGAACCUCUGCCCCCAGGUGGGGCCUUUUCUGCCAGUGAUUCCUCGUGCUUGAGAAGAAUGAGAAAGGCUCAGGUGGGAAAUGUAUUAAUCGGUUAUGAAGGCGAUGGAGGAGGGGAGGUUGAGGCCGCGUCAGUUGUGUUGGGGGCACGUUAGCACGCAGUAGGAGGGGAGCGCCACUAGUCUAAGAAAUCAGUGUCCUUACCAAAAGGAUUUGCAAGAAUAUUUGUGGCUCAGGACCUAAGGAACUUGCUACAGGGAAGUGAGGUCAGAGGUCAGCUCAAUCCUGAAAUAUAAAUGCAGCAAACCUGGUCAUGCCAACAGGCAGCAUCCUCAGCACCUGAGGACUUGGGGCUCCUGCCAGGGCUCUUCCUCCUGGCUGUGCUUACACUGCCCGCCCCCCACCCAGCCCGGGUGAAGAGCCUUCCUGCUGAGGGUCGAGAGAGCUGAUGCCAGCACCGGGAGGGGAGACAGGGCCUGUCACCAGCAGAGCAGCUCUGAGGUUAGGGGGCUGCCUGGUGGGUGGCCUCGCAAGCAGGCAUGAAAGGGAGGUUGAGUUCUGAUUCCAAAAUCAUAAACCUCCCCCCCCGCUCAGACCCUAGACUGCUGGCUUCUGCUGACAAGUAGGGUUAACUCCCACGAGCUGCUCUGGGUCACCAGGCUUGGAAAGUGGCACAGCUACCACCUAGGACCCCAGGCCAUGCUGCAGAAGGGCAGCAAUGUGGGUGAGCACCAGGAGCCUGCUGGGCCUGGUGCAAACAACUGUCCCUCUGCAAAUGACCGUCCGUCUGCCGAGGCCUCCCCAGCCGUCCCGCUGCACCCAGCGCGCCCCUUCCCCACCCGGCAGGAUGGAGUGGAGGGAAAAUGUGGAGGGGAGCCCAGUGGGUGUGCAGGGGGUAUCCAGAUGGGAAGGGGGAGCCAGUUCCAACAACAAGAAGCCACAGCUGCACCGCCCGGAGCUACAAGGCGCUGCUGCAGGCGCCAGCCUGGGAGGCCGCUGAAUGAUGGGCACCAAGAAUCCGCUGUGUCCCGAAGGAGAAAUCAAGAAAUCAGCUCUGCUGGGGACUCCGUGUGUGAGUGACAGCCAGGUUUAAAAAGGAAGACCUCGAGCAGAGGCCGCAUCCGGCUGUCAGAGACAUCUUCUCGCCCCAGCGCCUAUACCCCUCUCAUUCCACCGCUUUCCCUUCAAUCCUACAGCGAGACAGCCACAGAGAAAGCAGUCCCGCUCCUAGUCCACGGCUGUCUCCAGACGCCGCGUCAGUGGGUCCUCUCGGCUACUGAGCUCAGAGGUAACAGCUCUGGCAAGCAGAGCACAGCUCAUCUCGGAACACGCCCCGCGCCUGCCUGCGUGUGGGGAGGCUUGCGUCGUCCCCCCAACCCCUGUGGCUAUUGGAAAUCAGAAAACACGCAUCCAGGCAGCCCACAGCGGCCAGGCCAGGGAUGCGGGAUUUGCCACGGCGGGUUUGACUUGUGUACUGCUGAAGAGGCAGAGCCUGAUUGGCCAGUCCCCGAGGGCAGACACCCCAUCGCUGCCUGCAAAAAAGAGACAGAUCUUGAGGCCUGAAGAGGGCACAUGGACGGGUAGGUGGCGGGCACAGGGGAAGCCAGGACCUGUGGCCUGGAGUGGACACAGGCUCUGGGCGCAUGAGCCAUGGUGAGGAGAGAAAAGCUGACCUCCCAGAGGGAAAAGCCUCGUGGGGGAGCAACCUCGUGGUUCCUGAAUCCAGCAAGUAUCGGGCAGAGCUGGCUGGCCUCUUAUCGACCUCCACUAACUAAAGGACCCAGUGAGGGAGGUGUAGAGAGAUCCUGGGCUGCUAUUCCGGAAGUGCUGCCCUCUCUGUCCCUCCACAUCCUGUCCAACAGCCUGAGAAGCCAGGCCCCUCCCCUCUAGCUUGCAGCCCUCAUGCUACCAGAUAGGCUGAUGCAGACCGACGGGGAGGCGGGGGGCUCUCACGGUGAGAGGGAGAAGGUUCUAGAUGUGAAUUCAGAACCCAAACAUCUGGCUGGGUGCACUGGCUCACGCCUGUAAUCCCAGCACUUUGGGAGGCCGAGGCAGGUGGAUCACUUGAGGCCAGGAAUUCAAGACCAGCCUGGGCAACAUGGUGA